Molecule: ribosomal RNA, 460 nt
Filed under: uncultured bacterium
Lineage: Bacteria
Description: partial 16S ribosomal RNA
Rfam family: Bacterial small subunit ribosomal RNA
Source: RNAcentral
CCUACGGGAGGCAGCAGUGAGGAAUAUUGGUCAAUGGACGAGAGUCUGAACCAGCCAAGUAGCGUGAAGGAUGACUGCCCUAUGGGUUGUAAACUUCUUUUAUAUGGGAAUAAAACGUUCCACGUGUGGGAUUUUGUAUGUACCAUAUGAAUAAGGAUCGGCUAACUCCGUGCCAGCAGCCGCGGUAAUACGGAGGUUCCGAGCGUUAUCCGGAUUUAUUGGGUUUAAAGGGAGCGUAGGUGGAUUGUUAAGUCAGUUGUGAAAGUUUGCGGCUCAACCGUAAAAUUGCAGUUGAAACUGGCAGUCUUGAGUACAGUAGAGGUGUGCGGAAUUCGUGGUGUAGCGGUGAAAUGCUUAGAUAUCACGAAGAACUCCGAUUGCGAAGGCAGUUCACUGGACUGCAACUGACACUGAGGCUCGAAAGUGUGGGUAUCAAACAGGAUUAGAUACCCGGGUAGUC